Tachyglossus aculeatus (Australian echidna) is the source of this 434-nucleotide long non-coding RNA. RefSeq lists it as uncharacterized. The transcript has 3 exons. Lineage: Eukaryota; Metazoa; Chordata; Mammalia; Monotremata; Tachyglossidae. The record is from RefSeq and is a predicted model, not a curated record.
CACACAGACACACACACACACACACACAGAGCGGGGACACCGAGGACACCGACACCGGAGCCGCCGCCGCCGCCUCUGCCACCGCCGCCUCCCCCCGGCCGGCCGGCCGGCGCUGGGGCUGUCGGCGGGCAGAGCCCCAGGUGGUAGUCUUCCUGAAGUCCUGAAGAUUGGAAGAAAAUAAACCAGCAGCCGACAAACAUCUGGUAAAUACCCCCCUGAAGUCAUUCGCUGAGUUUCAGCUGCCCUACCGUCUUCUCAGAAUUAACUCUGGAAAAAUAAAUCACUGACGUGUUGGCUAUCCACGAAACCUGACCAAGUCCCAAAGGUCUGCCAGCCAGCGGCACCAAGCCAACAGCCCUCCGCUUCGACACCCACCGCGGAACAGCACUCCCCGCCGCUUCCACCCGCCCUCGCCACCCCACCCCGCCGGAAAG